AGUGAACGCUGGCGGUAGGCCUAACACAUGCAAGUCGAACGGCAGCACAGUAAGAGCUUGCUCUUACGGGUGGCGAGUGGCGGACGGGUGAGGUAUACAUCGGAAUCUACUUUUUCGUGGGGGCUAACGUAGGGAAACUUACGCUAAUACCGCAUACGACCUACGGGUGAAAGCAUGGGAUCUUCGGACCUUGCGCGAUUGAAUGAGCCGAUGUCGGAUUAGCUAGUUGGCUGGUUAAAGGCCCACCAAGGCGACGAUCCGUAGCUGGUCUGAGAGGAUGAUCAGCCACACUGGAACUGAGAAACGGACCAGACUACUACGGGAGGCAGCAGUGGGGAAUAUUGGACAAUGGGCGCAAGCAUGAUCCAGCCAUACCGCGUGGGUGAAGAAGGCCUUCGGGUUGUAAAGCCCUUUUGUUGGGAAAGAAAAGCAGCAGGUUAAUACCCCGAUGUUCUGACGGUACCCAAAGAAUAAGCACCGGCUAACUUCGUG
Molecule: ribosomal RNA, 492 nt
Filed under: uncultured bacterium
Lineage: Bacteria
Description: partial 16S ribosomal RNA
Rfam family: Bacterial small subunit ribosomal RNA
Source: RNAcentral